ACUUGAUGGUGGGGACACUGUUGGAGAAGGUCAUGAAGUCUCUCCCAUGUUUCAUGAAAUUGCUCGCCAUCAAUUUGAGCAAAAUUAGUGAUGUCUUGUCUAAGUU
This is a small nucleolar RNA of Camellia sinensis, 106 nucleotides long. The record is from RefSeq and is a predicted model, not a curated record. NCBI's taxonomy places the organism in Eukaryota, Viridiplantae, Streptophyta, Magnoliopsida, Ericales, Theaceae.